GUUAAGAUGAUCUUGUGGCAUUACAGAACUCCGAACCAAUGUGUUUGUAUCCUUUGGAAUUGGAUAAGGAUUGCUUGGGUCGACAUUAUCAUUGAUGGCUUCAAUGUAGAGUGUGUUCUCAGGGAGUCCACUAGCACGAGCAAUGGCUGGAACAUCAACGUAGAACCACUGGAAGGAACUGGGAUCAUUUGCUGGAACAAAUAUACUGGGCUUCUCACUUCCUCUGAUAACUCCAAUUACUUCUGUGGAUUUAAGAGUUGGAACUUGAUCCUCUUCGACUUUCUUCUUUUUUGAAGAAAACAUCCACCAGGAGCUCUUUCCACUCUCUUGAGGUGGGGGCGCAGUACUCAAAGAU
This 355-nucleotide unclassified non-coding RNA is filed under the name Hevea brasiliensis (rubber tree). Lineage: Eukaryota; Viridiplantae; Streptophyta; Magnoliopsida; Malpighiales; Euphorbiaceae. The record is from RNAcentral.